RNAcentral lists this long non-coding RNA (408 nucleotides) under Carica papaya (papaya). Its description in RNAcentral is "long non-coding RNA (CPAP_LNC000575)". Lineage: Eukaryota; Viridiplantae; Streptophyta; Magnoliopsida; Brassicales; Caricaceae. The record is from RNAcentral.
GCACGAACGACCUAGAUCUGUUUCUCCUUCAGGCGCGAUCGAACGGUCCACGUACCUUCGAUCGGAUGACUCUAAUUUGUUUCUCAAAUAGGAUAGAUCGGACAGUGGAGAUUGGGCCAUGUAGCCUCAAAUGGACGGUCCGAAUCGAAGGAGGAGAAGUAUUUAAACUCAUCUUCCAUCAAAACUCUAACCCUAGCCGCAACCAGUUCACUGGAGAAGAAGAAGAAAGGCAGUCGAAAGAGAAGUCGGCCACUGUCACCGCCUCACCGAAACUCUCACCGACACCGAAAUGUGAGUUUUUUCUUCCCUUUCAAUUUAUUUUUCGAUUUUAAGCUACCUCAAACCCUUAUCGGUGCUGAAAAACCAAAUGAGAAGUCGGAAACGAAGAGCAGAAAUCGGCUGAGCCGC